Molecule: ribosomal RNA, 250 nt
Filed under: uncultured prokaryote
Description: partial 16S ribosomal RNA
Rfam family: Bacterial small subunit ribosomal RNA
Source: RNAcentral
UACGUAGGGAGCGAGCGUUAUCCGAAUUUAUUGGGUGUAAAGCGUGUGUAGGCGGUUUAAUAAGUCUAAGGUUUAAUCCCGAAGCUUAACUUCGGUUCGCCUUAGAAACUGUUUUACUUGAGUGCGGUAGAGGCAAGUGGAAUUUCUAGUGUAGCGGUAAAAUGCUUAGAUAUUAGAAGGAACACCAGUGGCGAAGGCGACUUGCUGGGCCGUUACUGACGCUGAGACACGAAAGCGUGGGGAGCAAAUA